GAUGAAGAACGUAGUGAAAUGCGAUAAGAAAUGUGAAUUGCAGAAUUCAGUGAAUCAUCGAAUCUUUGAACGCACAUUGCGCCCCCUGGUAUUCCGGGGGGCAUGCCUGUUCGAGCGUCAUUUCACCACUCAAGCCUCGCUUGGUAUUGGGCAACGCGGUCCGCCGCGUGCCUCAAAUCGACCGGCUGGGUCUUCUGUCCCCUAAGCGUUGUGGAAACUAUUCGCUAAAGGGUGNNCGGGAGGCUACGCCGUAAAACAACCCCAUUUCUAAGGUUGACCUCGGAUCAGGUAGGGAUACCCGCUGAACUUAAGCAUAUCAAUAAGCGGAGGA
RNAcentral lists this unclassified non-coding RNA (331 nucleotides) under soil metagenome. Its description in RNAcentral is "partial contains 5.8S ribosomal RNA, internal transcribed spacer 2, and large subunit ribosomal RNA". The stretch from base 1 to 120 matches the Rfam family "5.8S ribosomal RNA", at positions 35 to 154 of the family's 154-position model. The record is from RNAcentral.